AACUAUUACAUUCUUUGUUGUAGCGGUUGGAUAGUAGGUAAUCCCAUGAUCAUUGACAUUGGAAAGCUUUUCUGUGAGGUCUGAAUAGUAAAAGGAGGAACUCAAGAGCCUCUUUCCUGAGCUAAGUCCAAUAACUGCAGCUGUGGCCAUCAUAUAUAUGGAUAAAUUUCAGAAUUGUACAACAAUCAUCACAAGCUUUCAGAAAAUUGAUGAUAUCAAGUCUGCUGCUCUUCAAGCGUACUCAAUUCACCAGGCUAGGUGCAUGUA
RNAcentral lists this long non-coding RNA (267 nucleotides) under Populus trichocarpa (black cottonwood). Its description in RNAcentral is "long non-coding RNA (PTRI_LNC004173)". Lineage: Eukaryota; Viridiplantae; Streptophyta; Magnoliopsida; Malpighiales; Salicaceae. The record is from RNAcentral.